This 439-nucleotide ribosomal RNA is filed under the name uncultured bacterium. RNAcentral's name for it is "partial 16S ribosomal RNA". It matches the Rfam family "Bacterial small subunit ribosomal RNA", at positions 339 to 795 of the family's 1533-position model. The record is from RNAcentral.
CUACGGGUCGCACCAGUGGGGAAUAUUGCACAAUGGAGGAAACUCUGAUGCAGCAACGCCGCGUGGAGGAUGACACUCUUCGGAGCGUAAACUCCUUUUAUAUAGGAAGAAGAUGACGGUACUAUAUGAAUAAGCGCCGGCUAACUCCGUGCCAGCAGCCGCGGUAAUACGGAGGGCGCAAGCGUUACUCGGAAUCACUGGGCGUAAAGAGCGUGUAGGCGGAUUAAAAAGUCAGAAGUGAAAUCCUAUAGCUUAACUAUAGAACUGCUUCUGAAACUCUUAAUCUAGAAUAUGGGAGAGGUAGAUGGAAUUUCUGGUGUAGGGGUAAAAUCCGUAGAGAUCAGAAGGAAUACCGAUUGCGAAGGCGAUCUACUAGAACAUUAUUGACGCCGAGACGCGAAAGCGUGGGGAGCAAACAGGAUUAGAUACCCUCGUAGUC